Tripterygium wilfordii is the source of this 1028-nucleotide long non-coding RNA. RefSeq lists it as uncharacterized. The transcript is spliced from 4 exons. Lineage: Eukaryota; Viridiplantae; Streptophyta; Magnoliopsida; Celastrales; Celastraceae. The record is from RefSeq and is a predicted model, not a curated record.
UAACAUAUCAGUGAUAACUGCCACAUCCAGAAAGAUUGUCUCAUUCUCAGUUUUCAAUGGUGAUAAUUAUUGAAAAAUUUGUGUGCAAUUGAUUGCAUCCAAGUUCAUGUUACAAUAUGUAUUGCAAGGGUAAAAAUCCACAAUUACUUGUACUUUUAAUGUUUUAAUCGUUGCCUUGAAGCUUUCUUUUCUUGUUCUUGUGUGCACCACUGCUUUCAUGCUUAAGACUCUAAAUUGAAGACUAUCAUAAACAAGGUAUGAAAGGUUUUUUUCAAUAUUCUUGAACUAAAAUGAGAUUAUAAGUCAAAACUUAACAAAAAUUGCUCCACCAGAUAUUGCUUUUAUGCAAUCAGCAGUCAUUGUUCAUUGGUGCAGGUCCUUUGUUUUAAUUCGGUUUCGAUUAGUUUUGGGUUUAGGCACAGAGUGACGAUCGGUUUUGUGAGAUAGUUUUGUGUUGAAGGAGGUAAUGAAUCGUGCGCGUGGGUAUCAUCACAUUUGAUAAAAACAAAGCAGCGCCACUUCGAUUGAAGACAUGACAUAUGCUUACCAGUUCAAGCACAUCAUAAUCUUCGAUACUGGACCAGGUUGUUUCUGGAUUACCCCUUAAUCAACACUUUUUGAGGUUCAAUGUUGAUGCGUUGCAGACAGUAAACUGCCAAAGAUUGCGGAAAGAAGAGCCUUUGACAACAAGCAACCAGCUGGAGCAAAAUUAGCAAACAAGCUAUCUGGAGUUUUGGAAGAACAACACAUGCAAAUUAAAUAAAUGGCAAAGAGAUGCAUAAUGGAUAUUCCUUGACAAGGAUCUAAGCUGAUAUAGGCGAGAUAGGUGAAUGUUCUUCAACCCAAGAGAAAUGACUACCCAAGUCUUUUUAUGAAGGUUAAAUGCCUAAAAAACUAUGGUGUUCAUCAGUGACCUGAGCCACUAUUAUUGUUUUCUGAUGAGUUUGGGGGUUGAGUUUCUUGCAAGAAAAGUUGAUUCUCUGUAGUUUAUAUUUCAGUUCUUAUUCAUUCUCAAUUAUUCGAUGCUA